CAAACCUUGUUGCUCUCCUGUCACCGUCAAAUUAGCUCUAAUGGCCAACCACGCUCUGGUGUGCCACGCCCUCUUCUUCUUGGUAUUGAUACCUCUUCUGGAAUGUCAAGAUACCACCACAUUGUUAGGAGAGGUGGGUGGAGCUGUGACCUUUCAGUGUUCAUCUGACCUCUCAAAUACUCUGAAGUGGUUUUACAUUCAAAGACCUGUCAAUGAGAGCGUCCCUGAGUUCAUCAAUGGCUACCAUUCAACAAAGCCCCUAAAUACAGAGUAUGCAAAUCGAACGUACGUAAACCACACCCAGCGAACCAUGAAAAUGUGGGAUCUGCGCCCGUCAGACGAGGGGUUGUAUGAAUGUCACAUAUCAACAUCCAAGAACAAAGUGAAAAUGCAGCUCCAGGUCACAGCCCACUACAGCAUCCCUAACGUAACAGUAACCAAUGAAAACAACACUUGCUUGGUGACAUGUUCUUCCAGCCAUGGUUACCCACGUAAGGAGGUCAAGUGGAGGCCGUUUCCAAAUCAGACCCAGUGGAGAAUAGUGGACAGCAGUGAUUACAAGGACCCAGUCUCUCUGCUGUUUUCUGUCAACAGUUCCAUCGAGAUCAACUGCUCGUCUGGGCAGCUGAUCAACAUCAGCUGUGCUGUAGGGGACGCCUUCUCACUGAAACACAUAUGCACAUGUAGUACUGUGGAUCCUCCUAACAUCAAUCCCAUCGCCAUUGUUCUGAGUUGCAUUGCGAUACUAUGUGUGUUGGCCUGUGGAUCUGUUCUAUGGUACAGGAAGUGUAAAUCACCCACACCCAAUAAUGUUUGCCUGCUGUUGACGACCUGCCUGAGCAUUCUCUCCGCCAGCCGUAUACCGUAUCCUCUCUGUGAGAUCCGAGACUUGACGCCGCCAGACCUGGUCUUUCUGCUGUGCUCUGCCUCUGUUACUGGAAUAUAUUUGUAGUUUGUCUAACGCACGUAUUGACGGCAGUUUCUGUUAAUUAUUUCAAGAAGAGGAUUUCUGUUCAUCUGGACUGUUACUCUUCCAUUAUUAAAGACAUUGCAUUAUUGCAUUUCGCUUUUGGGUCCUUUCUCACCUGCAAUAACAGGCUGGUUAGAUACUUCAGAAAAGUUUUCUGUGUUAAUGUUACUCAUAACAGUGGCACAAGUCAUGUAAGUUGAGUUAGUUGAGUUAGUCUGUUAGUUGAGUUAGUCUGGACAGUUGGCUGCAGGGGUCCUUAUAAUGCAGGUGUGUUUUUUUUUCCAGCGUUAGUGCUUGACAACUGAGCUGUUAAUGUCUAAUCUUGGUUCUAGGCUUUGCAUUUGCAUUUGGAGACUGCUGUGGGUGUAUGUAACUGCUGACAACAGCAGCAGGAUGAAUUCUGAAGUAUACAUAACUAUGUUGUACAUCAAAUAUAGAUACUUUUGUUUUUCCAGAUGUGGAUCUUAAAGAAAAUCAAGAAGUAAUACAACUGACCUCAAAUACCCCAGAUUGACAAUGGACCAUUUUAGGUGUGGAACCCAAAAUGGUAGAAGGUUAUAUUAUUGAUAUGACAUUAAAUAUCAGUUCAGCCUUCUGAUGGGACAUAAAGGGCUCAGUGAAGCUUGUUAUUUUCAAACCAAGCGUUGUUGGAAAUUAUAACUUUCCCUUCACAAUGAUAAGCUGGACUUCAGGGUUAUUUUAAUGGUGUUGAGAAAGACUGGGAGUUGUUCAAAUAUUUAAUCAAUAUGUUGAAAUCACUUCCGAAGGAAAAUGUUGGCACUAGACUAUGGCUUGCAAUUAAAAACAUUUUUGUAUUUUAUUUUGUUUUAGAAGUAGUGACCUGAAAUGCACUUUAAUAGUGUUGCACCUUUUUCACAAUUUAAAAUCUUGAUGUCCUCUUUAUAUCAAAAAUGUCAGGGAAAAAGACACAAAUGCAAAUAUAAUGUUAGAAAAGGUUAUUAUUUCUUAGCCACGCAAAUAUGCAUGCAAUGCCUUAUGUCGAACAAUCUGCCUGGGCUGACCAAGAAUGUUCUGGAUACUCUGUUGACGCCCCGGUUUGCACUUCUUCAAUACACACUCAGGGAUUGACUCUAUUCCAAUGACUCCUGUGUAACUGUAUUGGUGUAGCCACCACUGUUGAGCAGAACUGAAUCUGUCUGUCUUCAAUGUAUUUUAUAUUCCUGGUCCUGUAGUAGCGUUUAUCUUUCCUGAAAAAUGCCGUUUUUUUUAUAUCAUCUGCUUGUUGCAUUUGUUUUCCAUUAUGUUCCUAGUGCCUGAAAGAUUAAGAAGGUAAUGUUAGAUCACUCAAAACGUUCUGCACCGCUGAGAGAUCCCAAUGGGCAUCCACCUCUUUAAACACACUCGCAUACACACAGCUGUUACUCUGUUUACAAUCUACUCUAAUGCAUAGUCACUUUACACCUUUUUGGUCUCUCAUAAAAAAAAUGGUGGGUAUUGCUGGGUGUGUUCAUGUAGAGCUCACCGGCCCAACCUGGUUUUAAGAAACUGAUUGACAUGGGCUAUUUUCUCAAAGUGGGGGCAAAAGAAAGAUGCAGAAUGCUUAUUGUUUUUCUGAAAUAUUUCCAAACGUGGAGCUUAAUGUAUGUUCAUAUUUCUAUGAAAUAUUGUAUUGUUUUUCAAGAAAGAUCAUCUCCAUAAUGUAUUGUUAUUCAUAGGGGACUGUUAUUCAUGUUGAAUAAUGUAUUUCUUUUUUACAGUUUUUUGCUUGUGUAAUAAAUUGCAUUUUAAAGUGAUGUUCACCAAAUUGCAGUGUUUGUAUUGACCAGCAGAUGGCAAUCCCACACUACAGCUACAUGCUCAGCCGUCCGACUGAGACACCCGUAAACGAACACUGGUUAUUCCACUAUUAAAGUGCCAAUUUCAAACUUCUUUGUGGAAAGCGUGUUCCUACCGUAUAGAUGGAAACAGUUCUCAUCGGUUAAUCCUUGCAAUUAUAGCUUCUGGAUUUUGCGUUGCCGGUGCCGCCAGAGCCCUCUCCGUGUUGCAUUCACACUCAUGAGUUGGGCUGUCCACUCUCCGCUCCCCAAAGUAUUUCCCAUACCAGGCUGUGAAACUGCUUCUCUGGAUAAGAUGACAACUUCCCAGGCGGAAAUAUUGUUAGUGGCACAGUGCACACAUAAAACGCAUGAAUGAAUGUCCACACACUGACAACAAGUAUUGCUUUAGUGCUCUUGAUGGUGUAGCAAUAGUAUGACGAGAGGACCCGUAGCAGAAUUGAUGUCAUUUCUUAAGCCACUUUAGGAUGGUUUAAGUCUGAGACUAGUAGACUAGAUGUUGUAUUCCAGUUCCUAUAGCUACUUGCUUAAAGGCUACCACUGAGUUCCAGUCCAAUCAACACAGUACUGCCUCAUAUGUGUCCUGGUUUUCACCAAGGGAAUGGAGAACAAAUUCUGAAUGUGUUUCUUAAGUAUGUCCAGUGAUUCUUUUUGGAAUUAUUCCUUCAAGGUAUUUGUUCUCUUGUUAGCUAUGGUGGAAGGUUAUAUAAUAUAAUCUGUAUUCUUUUUGAUAUACGUUUUUCAUAUUUAAAUUGUGUAUUUCGGUUCUUUUAUGCGGCUUUGAUAAUAAUAAAACAUUUCUUGAGCUUUCAAAAUAAAUGUAUCA
This is an RNA transcript of Esox lucius (northern pike), 3592 nucleotides long. It is a transcript of the gene named T-lymphocyte activation antigen CD80, with no coding region annotated. The transcript is spliced from 7 exons. The record is from RefSeq and is a predicted model, not a curated record. Lineage: Eukaryota; Metazoa; Chordata; Actinopteri; Esociformes; Esocidae.